GCGCCCAUAGCUCAGUUGGUAGAGCAUCACCUUGACGUGGUGAGGGUCAUAGGUUCGAGUCCUGUUGGGCGCACCA
RNAcentral lists this transfer RNA (76 nucleotides) under Bdellovibrionales bacterium. RNAcentral's name for it is "tRNA-Val". It matches the Rfam family "tRNA". Rfam says of the family: Transfer RNA (tRNA) molecules are approximately 80 nucleotides in length. Their secondary structure includes four short double-helical elements and three loops (D, anti-codon, and T loops). Lineage: Bacteria; Pseudomonadati; Bdellovibrionota; Bdellovibrionia; Bdellovibrionales. The record is from RNAcentral.